UACGAAGGGGGCUAGCGUUGCUCGGAAUCACUGGGCGGAAAGGGUGCGUAGGCGGGUCUUUAAGUCAGGGGUGAAAUCCUGGAGCUCAACUCCAGAACUGCCUUUGAUACUGGCGAUCUCGAGUCCGGGAGAGGUGAGUGGAACUGCGAGUGUAGAGGUGAAAUUCGUAGAUAUUCGCAAGAACACCAGUGGCGAAGGCGGCUCACUGGCCCGGUACUGACGCUGAGGUGCGAAAGCGUGGGGAGCAAACAGG
Molecule: ribosomal RNA, 253 nt
Filed under: uncultured bacterium
Lineage: Bacteria
Description: partial 16S ribosomal RNA
Rfam family: Bacterial small subunit ribosomal RNA
Source: RNAcentral